This is a long non-coding RNA of Heterocephalus glaber (naked mole-rat), 3123 nucleotides long. The record is from Ensembl. NCBI's taxonomy places the organism in Eukaryota, Metazoa, Chordata, Mammalia, Rodentia, Bathyergidae.
GAGGGAAGGGAAGGGAAGGGAAGGGAAGGGGAAGGGAAUGGGGCAGGGGAUGUCUUAGUUUCCGGGAAGGCUCCAUCCCAGUUCGCCGAACUAGAACAGGACCUGCAGAAAUGGGCGCUGGGCUGCAGUGUGGCCGCCAGGGGGCAGCAGGACGCCGCCCAGAGCCUCUGGCCCUGCGCCCUGCAGAUGCCUCUGCUCCUGCCCUUGUGGGAGCACAGGGAGCCCCAGGCUUCUCGGAGGGAGCGCAGGCACUAUGUUGUUUCUUCCCUCGGAAAGCGGAAACAUCCACUUGUGUGUGACGUCUCCUCGCGGAUUUCUGCAGUCACCUGGCUGCUUGAAAGGACCCCGUUAAUAUUUUAUUUUCCUUGGAUCCCCAAGGCGAGUGUCUUGCUCUCGGCCUUGGGAACAGGAAGAGGGGGGUGGGAAGGGACCAGGCCCAGCCCUUGUGUGCACCGAACGUGACUGCUGAGCUGGGAACUGGGUCUGCCUCAGUUUCCCCUCCCUCUUUCAUGCCUGCUGCUCCCGGCCUCACGUCCCCCUGGUCCUUGCAGAGCCAUGGCCUGGCUUGGAGCCCCUACCCUGGGUCUGGGGUCUCGGCCCCGGGACACAGGGGCCCCUCCAUGCCGUCCUUGCUGUUCAACCUCCUCUCUGAGCCCAGAGGGAGAGAAAGCAGGGAGGCCUGGAGGGCAGUUCUCUGAGACAGACAGGUAGACAAAGCCUUGGCCAAUCUUACCAAGAAAAGAAAAGCAAAGACUGAAUCGGUGGAGUUAGGCACGAAAAGGACUCGGUGAUACGCCCUCUGGUCAGUGAGGUCCCCGUCCACACAGCCGUGGCCUUCGAGCUCACACUCAUCUCUGAGGAGAGUCAUGGCCCGCGCUUCCUGUCCCCAGCCCUGUGCCUCCUCUGUGUGUCAGGGCUCCACUCUCCAGCAGUGCCCAGAGCACCAGGCGCCUGCCCCGUGCACGGGGACUCGGAUUUCCAUCUGCAGCUGCCGUGGGAAGUACCUGGAGCUCCCCACAAGCACAGUUCGUAGAGAGAAGGAGGAACAGGGGGAUUAUUUUCCUUUUACAGUGACAUAACUGAGAAAGAAGAAGGCACAAGAUUUCUUCCCUGGAACAAGUCUGUUUCUACAUAUCAUUAAGGACGAACUUUAUUUUCCUCCCUCGCUGAGUUCUCCAGUAUGCCUAAGUGCUUGGUGUUUUCUGUCUUUAUAUGGCUGAGAUUGAAUCGUUGAAUGUCGCCAAUCCCCACUCUAUCAGGCCCCUCAGGAAGGGGAUGAGCGGUGAAAGGACAACUACCCAGUUACCCUGGGCAGCCCGGGCAGCCUGCGCAUCCUCUCCAUUUGGGGGGGGUGGUUCUCAUGGGAGACCAAGGGUCUGAAUUAGCUCUGCACAGGCACCUCUGUCUCGGCCUUGACUCCAAGGACAGGCUUGGUCAUUGUCCUUGGAGAAGACAUUUCCCAACGGUGCCAUGCCCCACAGUGGUGACGCAGGAGUCUGUCGUGUGUGGGCUCCACAGCCAAGGCCUCCCCACCCCAGGCUAAGGGCAGAUGUGCCUGGAAGCCCUGGUGUCGGACUGACCCCAGGCAGAGGACUACGAAGAGAAGACGUUUCUGUCUCUCUCGGGCCCGGGGCCCCAGCUCAGCCUGACUCCUGCUGGGGACUCGGGGCCCAGCCUCCCUGCCCUCCACGGAGAGAGGGAGCCCAGCUGCCAGUGCACCUGAUCCUUCCAAGGACAGGCCGAGGGGGGAGGAGAGAGGACAGGAACACUCCCUGGCAAGUCCACUCCGUGCUCCUACAGAAACACAGGGUCUAAAGGGUCUGGCUCUGGCCAAAAGGGCACCUAACCAUCGCGUCACAGGUCAGUUAAGGAGCCGAAUUCUGAGACGGCCGAGGACGCUGGGCAGGUCCCGCUUCAGCUACAGCAAGGCCAGCUCCACACUCCUCCGAGUCCCCCAGCUUCCUGAGUCACAGUGAGACACGCCUCCCACCGGGAGCCAAACCCAGGGCCAGCGCAGGGUCGGGUGCAGACAGAGACUCUGCAGCCUGCAGGCCAGGUCCCCAGGGCAUCAGCAGCACUGUCUGGGGCCAGGGGACACAGCUGUCCACUCACACCGGCCCCUGCCCGCAGCUCUUCCAAGUCACGGUGGCCAAAAGCCACGAGCAUACGAUAGAAACUGCACCUCCCAGCUCUGCUGUGUUGAGCCGCCUGGAGCCGCACAGGGCUCGCGAGAGGCGGAGCAUUUGCUGAGCUGAGCUGUGACAGGGCUCUAUGCGCCCUCUCUGACUGGGGACAUCAUCAACUUUCGAGGCGUGUGCCCUGUGCCGGGACCUGGCCCCACCAUUUGGGUUGGACAGGUGCAUACUUAGGGAACUGACUUGCGAAGCUGUGGAGGACAUAAGUCCGAAUUCUGCGGGCAAGCGAGAGUCAGCAGGCUGGAGACCCAAGGAAACCCUGAGGCCGGCUGGACUCCACGCCCUGUGGCAGAUCUCCUUCCGAAGGAGAGCCGUCCUUUCUACCCUGCAGCCUUCAGCUGACUGGUGGGCCCAGGCUCGUCCCGGAGGGAGGGUAACCUGCCGUCAUGGUUUAGAUGUAGAAUGCCCCCCAAAGCAGCCCCAGCUGGCCCCAAGCUCAUGCAAUCUGGCGACCCUCCUACCUCGGCCUCCUGAGCGUUGGGAUCCCAGGCCUGCACUACCAUGCAGGCUCCAGCAGUAAGGCUUUUAAAAGGCGCUCGGGUCAGGGGUGCUACAGGCCUCAGCGGAUUUGCCAGUGGAAGAGCUCAGGGCUAAGUGCAGCUGGGCUGCGGCCCCAGGGACCUCCCUGCCCAGUCCUCCCUUCUCUCUGCUCCCGGCUGCCUUUGUGAGCAGCCUUUCUCCACCAGGUCCUCCCACCCUGCCAUUACUGUGGGGGAUUAGCUCCAGUUUCCAGCUGCCUCUUGAUGUAAAUGGUUUUUCAAAUCACAAAGAAAUUAGAGAAAAAUUCAGGUUCCACCAACUCUGAAGUUGAACACUGAAAUGGGCAUUGAAAUACUCCUAAAAGUUUGGGGUUUUUUUUAAUAUAUAUUUUAACAAAUACCAAUAUUAACUGGUCUCUGUGAAUUUUACCUAAUAAACUUGUUCAUGG